UGGGUAGGGGAGCGUUGUGUAAGUGGAUGAAGGUGAGUUGUAAAGCUUGCUGGACAUAUCACAAGUGCGAAUGCUGACAUGAGUAACGACAAUGCGAGUGAAAAACUCGCACGCCGAAAGACCAAGGUUUCCUGCGCAACGUUAAUCGACGCAGGGUUAGUCGGCCCCUAAGGCGAGGCAGAAAUGCGUAGUCGAUGGGAAACGGGUUAAUAUUCCCGUACUUCUAGUUACUGCGAUGGAGGGACGGAGAAGGCUAGGCAAGCUUGGCGUUGGUUGUCCAAGUGA
RNAcentral lists this ribosomal RNA (285 nucleotides) under Stygamoeba regulata. RNAcentral describes it as "partial Bacterial large subunit ribosomal RNA". It matches the Rfam family "Bacterial large subunit ribosomal RNA", at positions 1225 to 1513 of the family's 2925-position model. Lineage: Eukaryota; Discosea; Stygamoebida. The record is from RNAcentral.